GACGAACGCUGGCGGCGUGCCUAAUACAUGCAAGUUGAGCGCUGAAGGUUGGUACUUGUACCAACUGGAUGAGCAGCGAACGGGUGAGUAACGCGUGGGGAAUCUGCCUUUGAGCGGGGGACAACAUUUGGAAACGAAUGCUAAUACCGCAUAAAAACUUUAAACACAAGUUUUAAGUUUGAAAGAUGCAAUUGCAUCACUCAAAGAUGAUCCCGCGUUGUAUUAGCUAGUUGGUGAGGUAAAGGCUCACCAAGGCGAUGAUACAUAGCCGACCUGAGAGGGUGAGCGGCCACAUUGGGACUGAGACACGGCCCAAACUCCUACGGGAGGCAGCAGUAGGGAAUCUUCGGCAAUGGACGAAAGUCUGACCGAGCAACGCCGCGUGAGUGAAGAAGGUUGUCGGAUCGUAAAACUCUGUUGGUAGAGAAGAACGUUGGUGAGAGUGGAAAGCUCAUCAAGUGACGGUAACUACACAGAAAGGGACGGCUAACUACGUG
This 497-nucleotide ribosomal RNA is filed under the name uncultured bacterium. RNAcentral describes it as "partial 16S ribosomal RNA". It matches the Rfam family "Bacterial small subunit ribosomal RNA", at positions 28 to 507 of the family's 1533-position model. The record is from RNAcentral.